CGUAGGGGGCAAGCGUUGUCCGGAUUUAUUGGGCGUAAAGAGCGUGUAGGCGGCCAGACAGGUCCGUUGUGAAAACUAGAGGCUUAACCUCUAGACGUCGAUGGAAACCGUCUGGCUAGAGUCCGGAAGAGGAGAAUGGAAUUCCUGGUGUAGCGGUGAAAUGCGCAGAUAUCAGGAAGAACACCCGUGGCUAAGGCGGUUCUCUAGUACGGUACUGACGCUGAGACGCGAAAGCGUGGGGAGCGAACAGGAUUAGGUACCCUGGUAGUCCACGCCGUAAACGAUGGGUGCUAGGUGUGGGGGUGUCGACUCCCUCCGUGCCGAAGCUAACGCAUUAAGCACCCCGCCUGGGGAGUACGGCCGCAAGGCUA
This 371-nucleotide ribosomal RNA is filed under the name uncultured organism. Its description in RNAcentral is "bacterial SSU rRNA". It matches the Rfam family "Bacterial small subunit ribosomal RNA", at positions 526 to 896 of the family's 1533-position model. The record is from RNAcentral.